UAAUUUGGUUGCCAUUGUGUCUUACUUUUGAUGUUUAACAUUUAUAUUUUGAUAUUGGGUUGGUGUGCUACUGAAUGGCCACCUAAUCAUGCCUAUGUGCAUUUGGAUAGUCCAUUUUAUAAAUGAAACUCUGGCAAAAAAAUUUCACGAGUCUGGGCAUUUAAUGUACAUGCAAAUUUAACUCUACUAGAGAAGUAUGUUAAACUAAUACAUA
This 214-nucleotide long non-coding RNA is filed under the name Panax ginseng (ginseng). RNAcentral's name for it is "long non-coding RNA (PGIN_LNC003642)". The record is from RNAcentral. Lineage: Eukaryota; Viridiplantae; Streptophyta; Magnoliopsida; Apiales; Araliaceae.